UACGUAGGGUGCGAGCGUUGUCCGGAAUUAUUGGGCGUAAAGAGCUCGUAGGCGGCUUGUCGCGUCGGAUGUGAAAGCCCGGGGCUUAACUCCGGGUCUGCAUUCGAUACGGGCAGGCUGGAGUGCGGUAGGGGAGAUCGGAAUUCCUGGUGUAGCGGUGAAAUGCGCAGAUAUCAGGAGGAACACCGGUGGCGAAGGCGGAUCUCUGGGCCGUUACUGACGCUGAGGAGCGAAAGCGUGGGGAGCGAACAGG
This 253-nucleotide ribosomal RNA is filed under the name uncultured bacterium. Its description in RNAcentral is "partial 16S ribosomal RNA". It matches the Rfam family "Bacterial small subunit ribosomal RNA", at positions 524 to 776 of the family's 1533-position model. The record is from RNAcentral.